Molecule: ribosomal RNA, 499 nt
Filed under: uncultured bacterium
Lineage: Bacteria
Description: bacterial SSU rRNA
Rfam family: Bacterial small subunit ribosomal RNA
Source: RNAcentral
ACGACGCUGGCGGCGUGCUUAACACAUGCAAGUCGAACGAGGGAAUUGAAAGCUUGCUUUUGAAGCCCGAGUGGCAAACGGGUGAGUAACGCGUAGGCAACCUGCCCUUUAGUUGGGACAACAUCCCGAAAGGGGUGCUAAUACCGAAUGUGACAGUUUUCUCGCAUGAGAUUACUGUGAAAGAUGGCCUCUAUUUAUAAGCUAUUGCUAAAGGAUGGGCCUGCGUCUGAUUAGCUAGUUGGUGGGGUAACGGCCUACCAAGGCGACGAUCAGUAGGGGUUCUGAGAGGAAGGUCCCCCACAUUGGAACUGAGACACGGUCCAAACUCCUACGGGAGGCAGCAGUGAGGAAUAUUGGUCAAUGGGCGCAAGCCUGAACCAGCCAAGUAGCGUGCAGGAUGACGGCCCUAUGGGUUGUAAACUGCUUUUAUGCGGGGAUAAAGUUGGGGACGCGUCCCUUUUUGCAGGUACCGCAUGAAUAAGGACCGGCUAAUUCCGUG